ACGAUGAAGCCGUGAGGUUAGAUCUUGAGAAUCAUGAAGUCGAAGUUACAGAUUCUGUACACGACAUGACGCCGGAGCAACUGGUUGACCAGACCACCGGCGAUGUUAAUAGCGACCAAAUUCAGAUGGCGGUGAAGACCGAGCGGCCUGUAGAUGAUGAUGUCAUCCAAGAAAAGUCGUAUCAGCCACAAUCGGUAUCUGGAAUCAGUGUUGAAACCAUGGAAUCCGAUCUAUGUGAGCAUGACGGCGACAAUCAUGAAGUCAAAGUUGCAGAUCCUGUACACGAUAUGAAGCCGGAACAAUUGGUUGAACAGAUCACCGGCGAGCUUAAAAAUAACCAAGUUCAGACGGCGGUGGCGGCCCAGCGGCCUGUAGAUGACAUCAUCCAAGAGAACUCCGAUCAGGAUCAGGCACAUUCGGAAUCUGGUACAUGUAUUGAAACCAUAGAGUGUGACGGCGGCACAGAAGCUCGUGAUAUCAAUCUGGAGCCACAUGUGGAACCGGAAGGGAAAC
This 513-nucleotide long non-coding RNA is filed under the name Lactuca sativa (garden lettuce). RNAcentral's name for it is "long non-coding RNA (LSAT_LNC003172)". Lineage: Eukaryota; Viridiplantae; Streptophyta; Magnoliopsida; Asterales; Asteraceae. The record is from RNAcentral.